RNAcentral lists this ribosomal RNA (436 nucleotides) under Nakaseomyces delphensis. RNAcentral's name for it is "eukaryotic LSU rRNA". The stretch from base 11 to 164 matches the Rfam family "5.8S ribosomal RNA". The record is from RNAcentral. Lineage: Eukaryota; Fungi; Ascomycota; Saccharomycetes; Saccharomycetales; Saccharomycetaceae.
AUAACUUUAAAACUUUCAACAAUGGAUCUCUUGGUUCUCGCAUCGAUGAAGAACGCAGCGAAAUGCGAUACGUAAUGUGAAUUGCAGAAUUCCGUGAAUCAUCGAAUCUUUGAACGCACAUUGCGCCCUCUGGUAUUCCAGGGGGCAUGCCUGUUUGAGCGUCAUUUCCUUCUCAAAUAACUACGUUAGUUUUUGUUUGGUAGUGAGUGAUACUCGUUGAGUUAACUUGAAAUUGUUGGCCAGUGUUGCACAACGCAGUGGGUCUCUGUUUUAAUUUUCAUUGGGAGUUCCGCAAUGAGAAGUAAAUCGUUAUUAGGUUUUACCGACUCGAUUUUAAGUUUGUUGUGGGAUGCUAAUUCCUUUGGGGAGAGGGGACUAGACUGCGGAUCAUGCAAGGCGAACAGGAACCUUUAAGUUUGACCUCAAAUCAGGUAGG